This 300-nucleotide ribosomal RNA is filed under the name uncultured Nocardioides sp. RNAcentral's name for it is "bacterial SSU rRNA". It matches the Rfam family "Bacterial small subunit ribosomal RNA", at positions 496 to 795 of the family's 1533-position model. The record is from RNAcentral. Lineage: Bacteria; Bacillati; Actinomycetota; Actinomycetes; Propionibacteriales; Nocardioidaceae.
GCCAACUACGUGCCAGCAGCCGCGGUAAUACGUAGGGUCCGAGCGUUGUCCGGAAUUAUUGGGCGUAAAGAGCUCGUAGGCGGUGUGUCGCGUCGGGAGUGAAAACCCAGGGCUUAACUCUGGGCUGGCUUCCGAUACGGGCACACUAGAGGUAUGCAGGGGAGAACGGAAUUCCUGGUGUAGCGGUGAAAUGCGCAGAUAUCAGGAGGAACACCGGUGGCGAAGGCGGUUCUCUGGGCAUGACCUGACGCUGAGGAGCGAAAGUGUGGGGAGCGAACAGGAUUAGAUACCCUUGUAGUC